RNAcentral lists this unclassified non-coding RNA (236 nucleotides) under fungal sp. Its description in RNAcentral is "partial internal transcribed spacer region". The stretch from base 1 to 46 matches the Rfam family "Eukaryotic small subunit ribosomal RNA", at positions 1786 to 1831 of the family's 1831-position model. Lineage: Eukaryota; Fungi. The record is from RNAcentral.
AAGUCGUAACAAGGUAACCGUAGGUGAACCUGCGGUUGGAUCAUUAAAAAUUUAAAACUCUUUACUUGGGGAAACCCUUGUAUUGAACCCAAUGUGAACUCAACUUGUCUCUGGUGAUUGAGGGGGUAACUCCUCUUCACUUUUAAACAUUGUAUUUUAAAGUCGCUUAAUCAAGCUUGGAAACAAGCCUAAAAUUUAAUAAAAAACAACUUUUGACAACGGAUCUCUUGGCUCUC